UACGAAGGGGGCUAGCGUUGUUCGGAAUUACUGGGCGUAAAGGGCGCGUAGGCGGCUGGCCAAGUCAGGGGUGAAAUCUUUCGGCUCAACCGGAAACGUGCCCCUGAUACUGGCCGGCUUGAGGAGGGUAGGGGCGGAUGGAACUUCCGGUGGAGCGGUGAAAUGCGUAGAUAUCGGAAGGAACGCCGGUGGCGAAAGCGAUCCGCUGGACCCUUUCUGACGCUGAGGCGCGAAAGCCAGGGGAGCGAACGGG
This 253-nucleotide ribosomal RNA is filed under the name uncultured bacterium. RNAcentral describes it as "partial 16S ribosomal RNA". It matches the Rfam family "Bacterial small subunit ribosomal RNA", at positions 524 to 776 of the family's 1533-position model. The record is from RNAcentral.